AACGAACGCUGGCGGCAUGCCUAACACAUGCAAGUCGAACGAAACCUUCCGGUCGAUUGCCUCACUCGUUCUUAAUGCGUGGGAACCGGCUCUUACGUUCUGAACAAGUCCCCGAGAGGGGGGCUAAUACCGGAUAAUGUCGUCGGACCAACGAUUUAUCUCCUUUGGGUGGGCCCGCGUUGUAUUAGCUAGUUGGUAGGGUAAAAGCCUACCAAGGCGACGAUCCAUAGCUGGUCUGAGAGGAUGAUCCGGAACACUGCGACUGAGACACGGCCCAGACUCCUCGGGGUGGAAGAAGUGGGGACUAUUGGACACCGGGCGAGAGACUGCUCCAGCAGUGCCGGGUGAGUGAUGAAGGCGUUAGGGUUGUAAAGCUCUUUUACACGGGAUGAUAAUGACAGUACCGGGAGAAUAAGCUACGGCUAACUACGUG
This 433-nucleotide ribosomal RNA is filed under the name uncultured bacterium. Its description in RNAcentral is "partial 16S ribosomal RNA". It matches the Rfam family "Bacterial small subunit ribosomal RNA", at positions 29 to 507 of the family's 1533-position model. The record is from RNAcentral.